CCUACGGGUGGCAGCAGUGGGGAAUAUUGCACAAUGGGGGAAACCCUGAUGCAGCGACGCCGCGUGAAGGAAGAAGUAUUUCGGUAUGUAAACUUCUAUCAGCAGGGAAGAAAAUGACGGUACCUGACUAAGAAGCCCCGGCUAACUACGUGCCAGCAGCCGCGGUAAUACGUAGGGGGCAAGCGUUAUCCGGAUUUACUGGGUGUAAAGGGAGCGUAGGCGGCGAUGCAAGUCAGAAGUGAAAGCCCGGGGCUCAACUCCGGGAGUGCUUUUGAAACUGUGUUGCUAGAGUGCAGGAGAGGUAAGUGGAAUGCCUAGUGUAGCGGUGAAAUGCGUAGAUAUUAGGAGGAACACCAGUGGCGAAGGCGGCUUACUGGACUGUAAAUGACGCUGAGGCUCGAAAGCGUGGGGAGCAAACAGGAUUAGAUACCCCUGUAGUC
RNAcentral lists this ribosomal RNA (440 nucleotides) under uncultured bacterium. Its description in RNAcentral is "partial 16S ribosomal RNA". It matches the Rfam family "Bacterial small subunit ribosomal RNA", at positions 338 to 795 of the family's 1533-position model. The record is from RNAcentral.